CAGUCGCCGCGGGAAUACGUAGGUGGCGAGCGUUGUCCGGAAUCAUUGGGCGUAAAGGGAGCGCAGGCGGGCAUGUAAGUCUUUCUUAAAAGUUCGGGGCUCAACCCCGUGGUGGGAAAGAAACUACAUGUCUUGAGUACAGGAGAGGAAAGCGGAAUUCCCAGUGUAGCGGUGAAAUGCGUAGAUAUUGGGAGGAACACCAGUGGCGAAGGCGGCUUUCUGGACGGCAACUGACGCUGAGGCUCGAAAGCCAGGGGAGCGAACGGGAUUAGAUACCCCCGUAGUCCCUGUCUCUUAUACA
Molecule: ribosomal RNA, 301 nt
Filed under: uncultured bacterium
Lineage: Bacteria
Description: partial 16S ribosomal RNA
Rfam family: Bacterial small subunit ribosomal RNA
Source: RNAcentral